RNAcentral lists this microRNA precursor (95 nucleotides) under Canis lupus dingo (dingo). RNAcentral describes it as "mir-8834 microRNA precursor family". It matches the Rfam family "mir-8834 microRNA precursor family". The record is from Rfam by way of RNAcentral. Lineage: Eukaryota; Metazoa; Chordata; Mammalia; Carnivora; Canidae.
AGGAGGAACAGCCCUAGUGGCGGGGCCAGCCCUGGAAACCUGGAUUCAGCUCCGGCAGGAACUCCGUCUGCAGGGCCUGGAGGCUCCGGGGCGGG